Long non-coding RNA from Panthera uncia (snow leopard), 5386 nucleotides. RefSeq lists it as uncharacterized. The transcript is spliced from 10 exons. Lineage: Eukaryota; Metazoa; Chordata; Mammalia; Carnivora; Felidae. The record is from RefSeq and is a predicted model, not a curated record.
GCUGCCGCAGACCCCCGCGAGGCCUGCCGGGCGGGCGGCGGCGUCCGGGGGCCGCCGAGGGCUGUGGCGCCGGGGCGGGCUCCGAGGGGACCCUGGUGCUGGGGGUCGUCCGUCCUCCCAGCCUGGCAGCUGGGGGUUCGUGUUUCCGCGCGUCCGCGGCGCCUAGGUGGCCUUUGCUCCUCCAGCCCCCAUUGAAGGACAUUUGUCUGUUGCAGUAGUUCUCAAAGUGUGGGCCAGGGACACCCUGGAGCUUCAGAGACCCUGUGAGUUGAACCCAGCCACCAUGCUGAGAGGAGCCUAGGCCACUUGAAGGGGUCUAAUGUCGGUGCUCCAGUCAACAGUCCCAGCUGAGCUCACAGCUGGCAGCCAGCGCCAGCCUUAAUCUUCACCCUGAGCCUUCAAAUGUCUCCAGCCCUGAUCGCGUUGACCUGAAACCACACAAGAGGCCCUAAGUGAAAAGAACCACCCAGCUACCCAGUCAACUUAUAGAACGCAACAAUCACUUGUACAGCGUGACUGAGUUUCUCUCUGUGAGAUCUGCAACCAGCCACCAGUGGUGUGGAGGAGGAGGUGACAGAUCCAAGUGUCAACUGCUGCUGCUGCUGCUGCUGAUCAACUGCUGAGAUGAUGAUGGGAGUUUAAGUUCACUGUGAUUUCCACACCGAGAAUUUGAAGAAGACCAACAAGGAGCUUGGUGGGCUGGGGCUCAAGGAAGACACAGCUCUGGUACUGUGUCAUUUAAGCCUGGAACGAUCCAAAUGGGAUUUGAGUCUACAAACUGAAUCAUGGCAAGGAGUGUCAAGUCUGAGGUAUGGAGGUGUGAUUCUGAAAACCAGCCUCAAGCAGGAUUUAUAUGAACUGUGUGUUUUACCCACUUGAGCAGCCAGGGCAAUAGUCUGAACUACUAAUGGAACAGGUACUGUGAACACGGCUAAAUAUAUUCAUGUUUGAAGAGGCAUGAGAGCUUGCACAAAGAAGACUAAUAUGGCAGCCUAGGCUCCACCUGUUACAAGGUCCCAUUUUCAGGGUUGGCCUGGCCCUUGGCUGACACCUGGCAACUUGGCUUUUAGAGUUUUGUGUGUAUCCCAACUGAUAAGCAUGUCUCACUGUGCCCAGAAUAUGCAAACGAUGUGAUUUACACUGAACACCUGCUUUCCUUCUGGGAGUCUGGAAUGUGGUAUGUUUUAGACAGAAGGUGCCUACUUGCCUGGCCUUCAGUGCAUUGUGUGACCCCCUCAGAAGAGGGAGAGAGAAGAGGGAGAGAUUGCAUCACAAUCUGUCCUCUUGUCCCUGCAAUCCUGCUUGCCAUCCACGUACGUACCAGAGCUGUGUCUUCCUUGAGCCCCAGCCUACUGAGCUCCUUAUUGGUCUUCUUCAAAUUCUCGGUGUGGAAAUCACAGUGAACUUAAACUCCCAUCAUCAUCUCAGUGCAUUGUGUGACCCCCUCAGAAGAGGGGAGAAGAGAAGAGAGAAAUCCUGUGCGUGGAUUUCCCCAGACUUCACCUUUCUCCUUAUGGUCCACCUGUGUGUCCUUGCUACAUCACUACAAUAAGCCUUAGCUGUGAGUAUGAGGAUAUGCUGAGUCUCAUGAAAUCGCCUGGAAAUCUCGGGAUGUGGGGAUGGUCUUGUGGCCCUCAACAGUUUCGCUGCCUAGUUGUAUCAAAAUUAUGUGUAGGAUUAUUUUGAUAUCUGUAUUCUAAAAUGGGGGAGGGGAGAAUGGAUUUCUGUUUCUCAUUAAAAGGAGCCUCUGGGUCACAUGUAAUAGAUGUGGCAUCUAGUGUUUUUGCCAAAAAAGGAAAAAAAAGCCACAAACUUAAAUAAAACUAACAAAGAGGAAAGCGAUAUGUGGAUAUACGAUUUUGAGAUUACUAUUUACAAAAUGUUAAAAAAAAAAAUAGGGGUGCCUGGCUGGCUCAGUCGGUGGGGCAUGUGCUCUUAAUCUCGGGUUGUAAAUUCAAGCCCACAUUGGGUGCAGAGAUUACUUAAAAAUCUUUAGGGGCGCCUGGGUGGCUCAGUUGGUUAAGCAUCUGACUUAGAUUCAGGUCAUGAUCUCACUGUUCAUGAAUUCAAGCCCCACAUCAGGCUCUGUGCUGACAGCUCAGAGCUUGGAGCCUGCUUCAGAUUCUGUGUCUCCCUCUCUUUCUGCCCCUACCCCGCUUGUGUUCAGUCUCUCUCUCUCAAAAAUAAACAUUAAAAAAAAAUUUUUUUUUAAUCUUUAAAAAACAAAACAACCAAAAUGUUAAGGAAAAAAUAGAAAGUGUCCUUGAACUAUCCAGAUAUCUAGGUAUCACCUCAGCCUGACCAAGUGGACUCUCUGAAGAUGGGCCCAGGAGCCACAAUUCUAAUAACUCCUCUCAGGUGGGUCUUAUGCAUGUUUUGAUCAGGAACCACUGACCUCUGAGUAUGAGAAUAAUUUGGGUGGAAAGGGCUCAGGUUCUUAUUUCAGAGAGCCCACUUCUUGGGUCCUAGGACUUGUGUGGGGUAGAAUACCUAUGAGAGCAAGGCUAAAGCACUGGCUGCAUAUGCAGGAGCUGCACCCUUCAAUCCCCAGUCCCUCCAUCUCCGUCUUCUAAUUCCCUCUGGGCUUAGUCUCCAGGCACACAUAACCACCACGUGUGGAGUCCCCACUAUGGCUUGAGGACACUGUGGCAUCGCACACAUCUUCUGUACCCGAGUCUCCAGUAGCGCCUUCAUUGAAUGAGGCUGCUCUCAUGACUUGCUGAAUGCAGAAAUCUCUCAGAUGUUUUAGCCAACAGGAAUUGUCAAACGAUGUUCACUCCACGGGGUCUGUUGGGCAGGUCCUUCCCCCCAGUCUCUGCCAUCUUCUGAGAGUUAUGCAAUAGCAGGACCAACUAUCCAAUCACAAGCAAAGUUCCCAUCUGUUCUGUCCAGGCUGCCUAGCCAAGGUGUUUUCCACCUCAACCUCAGGGUCUCAUAUGAACCACAGCAGCUAUAUUACUUGAAGUGUUUUGCGAUGGAAACCAGGUAACUGCCAGAGUGACCUUGGGGGAAGCACAUUCAGUACUUGGUUACACAAAUUCACACAACUGUCUUGCCACAUCUAGUUGUCCCAGGCUAUCAGGUCCCCACUCUGGGGCUGCCUUCUGACUUCCUGGUGAUAAGGCUGCUGGAAAAUCAAGUCUUGAAAGACUAAGCCAUUCCCCUUUAAUUCCAGGGACUUCUAAGAAGCCAAGGAGCCUUCCUUCUUCUGGAAUGAAAUCUAAUUUGCUAAACAGAAAAGUCUGACAUCUUUCUUUUUUGCUCUUGCUUUUUAAAUUGUCAAUCUACUAUGACAGCAACACUGAAUCAAAAGAAGGAAAAUUGUACCUAAUCCCACAAAUCAAUUGCAGAUGUCCUCAUGUACUGUGGUUUUUGCUCACCUAUAGUUACACAUUGUUAAUAAUUGUUACCCAAACAAAGAAUGUACCACCAGGGAAUGAAGUACUACAGAAGGUAUAAAAUGAAAUCCAGGUCUCCUGCCCUACCCUGCUCAACAGUCACAUUCCAUCAAUGCCUAUUAACCAUUUCUUUCUUUUUUUAACCAUUUCUAUUCCAGUUCUUCCUGAGGCCAUCUCUAUAAUUCUGAUCUUUUAUGGCCUAUAGACUUAACUGACUUCCUGCUCUGGUAAGCAGUGUAGAUUUAGCUCAGACUGUCGCUCCUCUAUUUGCAUCUAAUUUCUGUCAUAUUACCAUUUUGAGCCCUAAUUCUAGUCUCCUAAAUAACCUAUCGUAUUAUAUUUAAAAGUCCACUUCCUAAGAUGAGGAUACAGGGAUACUCUGUCUCCCCACUACAUCUCUUUCUCCUACUUUACAACAGCUGCAGACUGUACCAUCACUGUUAGUGCUGGCAACAGUGGUGCUCUACUCCUGCCGUUAUGAAAUCCUCACAUCACAGCUCUGGGUUUCUCUCUUUAAAAAAAGCAAAAAACAAAAAAAAAACCCAGUAUCUCCUGUUUAUAUCUAUGCAAAUACUGUUCAGUGAAAGACCAAUCAAAACAAUCUGAUUAUAUAUCUCUUCCUUUUAUUCCAAUAUCAUGAGUCUUCUGCCUCUUCUAAGAAGAAAUUUUAGCAUCAGGGUCAAAUGCAUGGAUCUUAUUCAUCAUAGAUUGUAGUUGGCAAGAUCUGAAGAUCUUUCAGCUUUCCUUCCCCUUCUCUUCCCUUCUCCCUUCCUUUUCCUUCCCUUCUUUCCUUCCUCUUUUCUUUCUUGUCCAAUAAUCUUACUUUUAAUUUCAUAGUCUAUUCUUGUUUUCAUAAUUCUCUUUUAAAAAGAGCAUCUUGGAUUUAUUUUUCACUUGCAGUUAUUUUUUGACCCACUCUUAGAAUAAAGCUUUUAAAUAUUUGGUUCCCUGAAUAUCUGUUCUCUUUGGGGUUGGUUUUUGUUUCAUUUUAGAUAUUUUUUAUUUUAUGUUGAAAGCUUUCAUCAUUUUUCACACCUUGGCUCCCACCCAUAGUGAAAAGACUAUCAAAGAAGAUGGGAAAUUCCAUAGUGUACAGCUCUGCCAGGGGACUGUGGCCUCUACUUCAGCCCUCUUCACAGGACCCUGGCUUCAGCCUUUCCCACUCUGCAUCUCCAGCUGAUGCCCUCACAUCUGCUUUCACCUUGCUCAAAUUUGCAGAAUGAAUUCUCUGAUGUGAAAGAAGGUGAGAGCUCCCAGCAAAGGCUUUCCCACACUGAUUACAUUCAAAAGGUUUCUCUCCAGUAUGAGUUCUCUGAUGCUCAAUAAGGCUACCCACAGAAAAAAAGACUCUUUCACCACUCCAUAGUCAAUGCCACCGACACCCCAGAAAAGCACUGUCGUCCUUGAAACAGUGUGGUUGGCCAGGCUGGGUUGCAACUGGGCUUCACUAACCAGCAACUUCUGAAGUUCAUUCUCCUCGGUGGAGGACAUUUCCGACUUGGACAAAGUCCUUAUCUAAGCUCAACACCCUCCACGAGCAAUGCUGUUCUCUUUCCCAAGACUCUGUUGUGUUCCCUUUUGAUGUUGCCUUGGAAUCCCUAAUGAUCAGAACUUUUUCAAAUGAAACAAUGAAGGGGAGUGAAAAGAGAGAGAGCACACAUGUGCAUGCAGCGUACACACCCGUGAACGGGGGAGGUACAAAGAGAGGGAGAGCCUAAGCAGGCUCCGUGCCCAGUGUGGACUGUGGGACCAUGACCUGAGCUGAAAUAAACAGCUGGACACUCAACCGACUGAGCCACCCAGGCGCCCCAUACAGCUUCACCCAUUGUAACAAAAGUACCACAGCAUAUAAAAUAUUAAUAACAGAGGAGACUGUGUGUGUGUGGUGGGGGAGGGAAGGGUGAAAUAUGGGAACUCUGUACUUUCUGCCCAACUUUCUGUAAACAUAAAACUGCUCUAAUAAAUAAAAUCUAUUAAUUAAAACAGAA